This 907-nucleotide long non-coding RNA is filed under the name Marmota monax (woodchuck). Lineage: Eukaryota; Metazoa; Chordata; Mammalia; Rodentia; Sciuridae. The record is from RNAcentral.
GAGCCCCGCCGCACAAAUGGAGCGACCUGAGGCCCUCAAGCCGCCGCACCAAGGGCACAGGCGCAGAAACCACCUCGCAUUCUAAACUGAUCUGGGGGACGUCUAUUAGAGGAAUGAACAGUAUUUUACUAGCUCCUUCAAGUAUCGAAAUCCUCAGAGCUGAUAAUGACAUGGGGACGCUUGGAAUUCAUCUCUUCAGCUCUCGAGUUUAUCAUAUUCACAAAGGAUUCUUUUUUUCUGAACAGGCUGUGCAGCCAGCAAGGCCAAAGGAUUUGUAGGGCCACCAGGGAAGGGAAGCUUUUCAGGUGUCCUGUAAAGCAACAAAUUGGGGGCUAUCAGAAUGCCUUUUGCAGGGCGCAAUAGAGCACGCCUGUAUUCCGGUGACUCGGGAGGCUGAGGCAGGAGGACGGCUAAUUCGAGGCCAGCCCUUAGUAACGUUGAGACGUUGUCUUAAAAUAUAGCUGGGGAUGUAGCUCAGCGGCAAAGCGUCCCUAGGUCCAAUCCCCAGUACCAAAACAAAGUUAAAAAGGGAUGGAGAUGUGGCUCCGUGUAGAGCGCCCCUAGAGUUAGUUCCCCAAUUCCGUUAGAGGUCACAAAUCCCCUUUUCAGCCUGGAGCUGCGGGCCUACAUCCUAGUCCCUAGUCAGGGGGCUGAGGCAGGAUGGUGGCUUCAGGUCAGCAUAAAACAGGCAGACCCCAGCUCUGUCAUGUACUCAGAGCCUCUUCCUUCCUGCACCUUACGCCCACCUUAGGUCUUGCUCUGGAGUACUCUUCCUGAGACUGGGUAUAACAGCCUCGUGGAGCAUUCAAGAACAAGAAAGGCUGGGCAUGUGGCUCAAGUGGUAGCGCACUCACCUGGCAUGCACCGGGUGCUGGGUUCGAUCCUCAGCACCACAUACAAAUAAAAU